AAAGAUCGCAGCCUCGUUUCACUCGACAGCUGCUACAGGGAUUUGUGUAGCAGCUGUCGAGUGAAACGAGGCUGCGACCUCU
This 82-nucleotide unclassified non-coding RNA is filed under the name Pseudomonas frederiksbergensis. The record is from RNAcentral. Lineage: Bacteria; Pseudomonadati; Pseudomonadota; Gammaproteobacteria; Pseudomonadales; Pseudomonadaceae.